This 270-nucleotide ribosomal RNA is filed under the name uncultured bacterium. RNAcentral's name for it is "partial 16S ribosomal RNA". The record is from RNAcentral.
CUGCUGCCUCCCGUAGGAGUUUGGACCGUGUCUCAGUUCCAAUGUGGGGGACCUUCCUCUCAGAACCCCUACGCAUCGUCGGCUUGGUGAGCCGUUGCCCCACCAACUACCUAAUGCGCCGCAUGCCCAUCCGUGACCGGGGUCGCCCCCUUUGGCCGGCAGGGGAUGUCCCCUCCCGGCAUUAUGUUGUAUUAGGCGGGAUUUCUCCCGGUUAUCCAUCUGUCACGGCCAGGUUGCAUACGUGUUACUCACCCGUGCGCCGGUCGCCGG